AGUGAGUGGCGGACGGGUGAGUAACACGUGGGUAACCUGCCCUAAAGUGGGGGAUAACAUUUGGAAACAGAUGCUAAUACCGCAUAAAACCUAACACCGCAUGGUGUAGGGUUGAAAGAUGGUUUCGGCUAUCACUUUAGGAUGGACCCGCGGUGCAUUAGUUAGUUGGUGAGGUAAAGGCUCACCAAGACCGUGAUGCAUAGCCGACCUGAGAGGGUAAUCGGCCACACUGGGACUGAGACACGGCCCAGACUCCUACGGGAGGCAGCAGUAGGGAAUCUUCCACAAUGGACGAAAGUCUGAUGGAGCAACGCCGCGUGAGUGAAGAAGGUUUUCGGAUCGUAAAACUCUGUUGUUGGAGAAGAAUGUAUCUGAUAGUAACUGAUCAGGUAGUGACGGUAUCCAACCAG
RNAcentral lists this ribosomal RNA (410 nucleotides) under Latilactobacillus sakei. Its description in RNAcentral is "bacterial SSU rRNA". It matches the Rfam family "Bacterial small subunit ribosomal RNA", at positions 90 to 486 of the family's 1533-position model. The record is from RNAcentral. Lineage: Bacteria; Bacillati; Bacillota; Bacilli; Lactobacillales; Lactobacillaceae.